CACAGAUCUCCGCGGCGUGUGAUUGGCUGCUGCGGCUGUCAGUCAUAAAGUGAACAGUUAUGCCGAGGGUUCUGACAAGUUCGACUGAGAAAUCAGAGAUAAAAGUGGCGACAGCGGUCCUCAGGUUUACGAGUGCUGUUGAAUCAGAGAGGGGAUCGGAAGCUGCUCUGAGAGGGAGACCUUCAACACGGAGGAUUUGUACAGGACGAGGCAGAGAGAGGAUGUAAACCUGUCUGUCUUCAGCUUUCCAUCACAUCUUCUAAUGGUCUCUCUGAGAUGGAGGACAUCCAUCCAUCAGACCGGAGUCGGCUGGCAGCAGCGCCUUUCUCCCCACUUUUAUGAGCUCCGAUCUGGUUGAAUGCAUCAGUGAGCGGACGCAUGCUGUGAAGGAAGAUUAGAAAAAACUGAACAUUUUCCCUCCAAACAUUUUUAGAAUUCACUGGAUGAGGAGCAACAAAGAGGUUGAAGUUCAGCUCGUGUUUUUCAUUAGACCAAAACCCAAUAAAGCUCUGAGGGGAAGCCUGUUCAAUCAGCUGAACAGAUCUUUUGUCCAUAACCUCAAAGGUAAUCGCAUUACUCCCUGCAGGGGUUCUUCUUCUGUUAAGGGGCUACUGCCUCCCUGGUUUGGAUUCAGAGCCCUUUUUUUAUGCCAGAUUUGGCCUCACAGCCUUUUUUAACAUCAAUGGAUGAAAUAAGUAUAUGAUCCAUUCUUGAUUUAGUAAAAAGACAUGGACAGUCUGUCAUCCUGAUGGUAGAUUCAUCUGAACAGUGAGAGAUAGAAAAUCACCCCCCAGAAAUCCACUUUAUAGAAUAAAAAAUGUAA
This is a long non-coding RNA of Oryzias melastigma (Indian medaka), 823 nucleotides long. RefSeq lists it as uncharacterized. Lineage: Eukaryota; Metazoa; Chordata; Actinopteri; Beloniformes; Adrianichthyidae. The transcript is spliced from 3 exons. The record is from RefSeq and is a predicted model, not a curated record.